GAUGAACGCUGGCGGCGUGCCUAAUACAUGCAAGUCGAGCGAACAGACGAGGAGCUUGCUCCUCUGACGUUAGCGGCGGACGGGUGAGUAACACGUGGAUAACCUACCUAUAAGACUGGGAUAACUUCGGGAAACCGGAGCUAAUACCGGAUAAUAUAUUGAACCGCAUGGUUCAAUAGUGAAAGACGGUUUUGCUGUCACUUAUAGAUGGAUCCGCGCCGCAUUAGCUAGUUGGUAAGGUAACGGCUUAACAAGGCAACGAUGCGUAACCGACCUGAGAGGGAGGACGGGCACCCGGGAAGUGAGACUGGGUACAGACACCGAGGGGGAGAAGCAGUAGGGAAUCUUCCGCGAGGGGGGAAAGCUUGACCGAGCGAAGCGGCGUGAGGGAUGACGGUCUUCGGAUCGUAAAACUCUGUUAUUAGGGGAAAACAAAUGUGUUAGUAACUAUGCACGUAUUGACGGUACCUGAUCAAAAAGCCACGGCUAACUACGUG
Molecule: ribosomal RNA, 497 nt
Filed under: uncultured bacterium
Lineage: Bacteria
Description: partial 16S ribosomal RNA
Rfam family: Bacterial small subunit ribosomal RNA
Source: RNAcentral